CCUACGGGUGGCAGCAGUGGGGAAUAUUGGGCAAUGGAGGAAACUCUGACCCAGCAACGCCGCGUGAAUGAUGAAGGUCGUCGGAUUGUAAAGUUGUUUUCUAAGGGAAGAAGAAAGUGAUGGUACCUUAUGAAUAAGCCUCGCCUAACUAUGGGCCAGCAGCCGCGGUAAUACGUAGGAGGCGAGCGUUAUCCGGAUUGACUGGGUGUAAAGGGUGCGUAGGUGGUUGGACAAGUUAGUAGGUAAACUCCAAGGCUCAACCUCGGAACUACUACUAAAACUGUUGGACUUGAGAGCAGGAGGGGCAGCCGGAAUUGCUGGUGUAGCGGUGGAAUGCGUAGAUAUUAGAAGGAACACCAGUGGCGAAGGCAGGUUGCUAGGCUGUAACUGACACUGAGGCACGAAAGCGUGGGGAGCAAACAGGAUUAGAUACCCGAGUAGUC
RNAcentral lists this ribosomal RNA (443 nucleotides) under uncultured bacterium. RNAcentral describes it as "partial 16S ribosomal RNA". It matches the Rfam family "Bacterial small subunit ribosomal RNA", at positions 338 to 795 of the family's 1533-position model. The record is from RNAcentral.